Molecule: long non-coding RNA, 876 nt
Organism: Papaver somniferum (opium poppy)
Lineage: Eukaryota; Viridiplantae; Streptophyta; Magnoliopsida; Ranunculales; Papaveraceae
Exons: 3
Source: RefSeq, a predicted model, not a curated record
AAUCUGAAGCAAACUGGAAUUGAGAGGAAGGAGGGAGGAGAAUGGGGUAGAGCAGAAAGGGGGGAUUUAUGAGAGUGGAACUUUGAAAAUCAUAAUUGCUUCACAUCCUUUGUAGUUCAAGAGAUUAGCACUCUACAACACCCUUUUCGUUUCUCAUUGAGAGUAUGUACUUUAAAGCAAUCGUGAAUUUCUUUUGCUAAAGGAAAAUUCAGGAUAUAGAUUUGCAUUAGGGGGUGUUCUACGGAAAUCCUGAAAGAAAAAAAAAAGAGGGAUGGGGACUUGGGUAUGAAACUGGUGGUGUUUUGGGAUGUAUUUUCAGCUGAAAUAUAGUGAAGUGAUGUUGGGGCCAUUCCUGCAACAAACUCAUCUUUUCACCAACAGAUAGCCCACACACUGUUCGCUAAAAUGCUCGAAAGAAAAGAAAAAGAGUAAAAGUUCUUAUUUCCUUCUCCACUCAUUUCAGAAAUGGCAAUGGUUGGGACCAUUUAUUUUAUAGUAAACAAAUAGUGGUAUCUUGAGAAUGGCUUAAGCAUACUGCCAUAGUCUCUCGUUGCUUCUCCAGGAGUUUCCGAAAGUGUCAAGCAUGAUUUAAUUGACAAGAUUGCGCACAAGGAGUAACGGUGGCUGGUAGCCAUUUUCGAUGCAUGGCUAAGAUGUGUGAAUGUUUAGAGGUUACGGUCGAUUAGGAAACUUGGGUUUCUUUCCUAAGUUGGAAUUGCAGGGCAGUAGAUGUAUAUAAGAAGAACUGAUACAGAGAUGAAUAACAUAUUGAUUUCUGCAUGUUACUUAUUCAGCUACUUGAUCUUGGUAUGUACGUACUUGAAUAAUUAGAUAAAUAUGUUACUACUUAGUCUUGAUGAUGAGGAAAUGACUUAA